CAUGUCUUUUUGAAAAUAAUUUAAAGUCUGACCUGCCCAAUGAAAUUUAAAUGGCCGCAGUAUUUUGACUGUGCAAAGGUAGCAUAAUCAUUAGUUUUUUAAAUGAAAGCUGGAAUGAAAGGUUUGAUGAGAAAAUAGCUGUCUCAAUUAAAAUAUUAAAAUUUUAUUUUUAAGUUAAAAAGCUUAAAUUUUUUAAUAAGACGAGAAGACCCUAUAGAGUUUAAUAUUUUAAUAAUUUUAAUUAUUUUUAGAUUUUAUUUAAGUUUUUUGUUAAAAUAUUUUAUUGGGGUGAUAAAAAAAUUAAAUAAACUUUUUUAUUUUGUUACAUUAAUUUAUGAGUAGUUGAUCCUUUAUUGAAGAUUAAAAGAAAAAAUUACCUUAGGGAUAACAGCGUAAUUUUUUUUAAGAGUUCUUAUCGAAAAAAAAGUUUGCGACCUCGAUGUUGGAUUAAAAUUUAAUUUUGGUGUAGAAGCUAAAUAUUUAGGUCUGUUCGACCUUUAAAAUU
This 505-nucleotide ribosomal RNA is filed under the name Litargus sp. UPOL ZL0145. RNAcentral's name for it is "partial 16S ribosomal RNA". It matches the Rfam family "Bacterial large subunit ribosomal RNA", at positions 1816 to 2595 of the family's 2925-position model. The record is from RNAcentral. Lineage: Eukaryota; Metazoa; Arthropoda; Insecta; Coleoptera; Mycetophagidae.